This 274-nucleotide ribosomal RNA is filed under the name uncultured bacterium. RNAcentral describes it as "partial 16S ribosomal RNA". It matches the Rfam family "Bacterial small subunit ribosomal RNA", at positions 523 to 796 of the family's 1533-position model. The record is from RNAcentral.
CUACGGAGGGUGCAAGCGUUACUCGGAAUCACUGGGCGUAAAGCGCGCGCAGGCGGGCUGAUAAGUUGGAUGUGAAAGCCUACGGCUCAACCGUAGAACUGCAUCCAAAACUGUCAGUCUAGAGUCUGGGAGGGGAAGAUGGAAUUAGUUGUGUAGGGGUAAAAUCCGUAGAGAUAACUAGGAAUACCAAAAGCGAAGGCAAUCUUCUGGAACACUACUGACGCUGAGGCGCGAAGGCGUGGGGAGCAAACAGGAUUAGAAACCCCGGUAGUCC